GGGUGCACACUGGGCAUCUGGGAGUUUAUGACAUCACAAUGGGGCUGGUGACAGAGCUAGGGUGUGGAGGAGUGCUUAGGAGCCCAGCGAGGGUGCCUACAAGAGGAGUCAAAGGGCAAAGGUCCUGGGGUACUUAGCACCGUGGCAUAUCUGUAAUAAGCACAUGCACACCUCGAAGGAGGUCUUCACUUCAACAUACAAGUUGACCAUGGCAUGCUCUGGGCUCCAGUCCUCUACAAAGAUGUAGGGCAGGAACUACCAGUUGUCAGCACAGCACCAUCCCACAUUGCUCUUCUAAUGGAGACUUUCACCCCAGAUGUUCUUUCUCGUCUGAUGGGAAGGAUCCAAAUGAAAAAAUUGAGGCUCAAAGAAGUCCACCAAAUUGAGAGUGAAGUAGGGGAAACAGCAUUUAACGCUUACAUUCUAAUGAUUUGUGUAAGAGCAGCAGGACAAGCUAUACAAAGAAAAAGGUGGAAUUAUCAGGAUGGAAUUAAAGAUGCUUCCAAACAGAGGGGAUAUCUCAAGCCAUGACUCAGAGAGUUCUCCCCACAUUAUUAAUGGUAUGGGAAUUAGGAGAAGGUCAUCUGACUCACAUGGAUCACCAUAUAAUUCCUUCUGGAGAACAGAAAAAAUGCAGAAGAGGAAAACCUCCAUAUGUGAAGCUAUGGCAAGGGAGUCUCCCCACCCCGCGCUCCAACAGAGUCUGGAGAUAAAUACCAGUCCAUAUUCUGCUGCUACCUCCCUCGUUGACCACUUUGACUUCAUUCAGCAUUUUAUGCGAGAGGCACAAGGAAAACAAGGAAUCAGUGCUGCUCUAUGAAUCAUUUGUCAAAGGGAGAUUUAAAUGCAUGUUCCUUACCUGCCUAGAGGAAAAUACA
This 878-nucleotide long non-coding RNA is filed under the name Homo sapiens (human). RNAcentral's name for it is "HSALNT0386456". Lineage: Eukaryota; Metazoa; Chordata; Mammalia; Primates; Hominidae. The record is from RNAcentral.